RNAcentral lists this ribosomal RNA (560 nucleotides) under Erythrobacter sp. SC67. RNAcentral describes it as "bacterial SSU rRNA". It matches the Rfam family "Bacterial small subunit ribosomal RNA", at positions 59 to 667 of the family's 1533-position model. The record is from RNAcentral. Lineage: Bacteria; Pseudomonadati; Pseudomonadota; Alphaproteobacteria; Sphingomonadales; Erythrobacteraceae.
CAGUCGNCGANCCUUCGGGGUUAGUGGCGCACGGGUGCGUAACGCGUGGGAACCUGCCUUUAGGUUCGGAAUAACUCAGAGAAAUUUGAGCUAAUACCGGAUGAUGUCUUCGGACCAAAGAUUUAUCGCCUUUAGAUGGGCCCGCGUUAGAUUAGAUAGUUGGUGGGGUAAUGGCCUACCAAGUCGACGAUCUAUAGCUGGUCUGAGAGGAUGAUCAGCCACACUGGGACUGAGACACGGCCCAGACUCCUACGGGAGGCAGCAGUGGGGAAUAUUGGACAAUGGGCGAAAGCCUGAUCCAGCAAUGCCGCGUGAGUGAUGAAGGCCUUAGGGUUGUAAAGCUCUUUUACCAGGGAUGAUAAUGACAGUACCUGGAGAAUAAGCUCCGGCUAACUCCGUGCCAGCAGCCGCGGUAAUACGGAGGGAGCUAGCGUUGUUCGGAAUUACUGGGCGUAAAGCGCGCGUANGCGGCUUUUCAAGUCAGGGGUGAAAUCCCGGGGCUCAACCCCGGAACUGCCCUUGAAACUGGAUGGCUAGAAUACUGGAGAGGUGAGUGGAAU